GAUGAACGCUGGCGGCGUGCCUAAUACAUGCAAGUCGAGCGAACGGACGAGAAGCUUGCUUCUCUGAUGUUAGCGGCGGACGGGUGAGUAACACGUGGAUAACCUACCUAUAAGACUGGGAUAACUUCGGGAAACCGGAGCUAAUACCGGAUAAUAUUUUGAACCGCAUGGUUCAAAAGUGAAAGACGGUCUUGCUGUCACUUAUAGAUGGAUCCGCGCUGCAUUAGCUAGUUGGUAAGGUAACGGCUUACCAAGGCAACGAUGCAUAGCCGACGUGAGAGAGUGAUCGCCCACACUGGAACUGAGACGCGGUCCAGACUCCUACGGGAGGCAGCAGUAGGGAAUCUGCCGCAAUGGGCGAAAGCCUGACGGAGCGGCGCCACGUGUGUGAUGAAGGUCUUCGGAUCGUAAAACUCUGUUAUUGGGGAAGAACAUAUGUGUAAGUAACUGUGCACAUCUUGACGGUACCUAAUCAGAAAGCCACGGCUAACUACGUG
RNAcentral lists this ribosomal RNA (497 nucleotides) under uncultured bacterium. RNAcentral describes it as "partial 16S ribosomal RNA". It matches the Rfam family "Bacterial small subunit ribosomal RNA", at positions 28 to 507 of the family's 1533-position model. The record is from RNAcentral.